This 409-nucleotide ribosomal RNA is filed under the name uncultured bacterium. RNAcentral's name for it is "bacterial SSU rRNA". It matches the Rfam family "Bacterial small subunit ribosomal RNA", at positions 102 to 518 of the family's 1533-position model. The record is from RNAcentral.
ACGGGUGAGUAAUACAUGAGCAACCUGCCUUUCAGAGGGGGACAACAGCUGGAAACGGCUGCUAAUACCGCAUAACGUGCGAGAGGGGCAUCCCUUUUGUACCAAAGGAGCAAUCCGCUGAAAGAUGGGCUCAUGACUGAUUAGUUAGUUGGGCAGGGCAACGGCCUACCAAGACUGCGAUCCAGUAGCCGGACUGAGAGGUUGAACGGCCACAUUGGGACUGAGAUACGGCCCAGACUCCUACGGGAGGCAGCAGUGGGGAAUAUUGGGCAAUGGGCGAAAGCCUGAACCCCAGCAACGCCGCGUGAAAGGAAGAAGGUCUUCGGAUUGUAAACUUUCUUUUAUGAGGGACGAAGGACGUGACGGUACCUCAUGAAUAAGCCACGGCUAACUACGUGCCAGCCGCAGC